This 1431-nucleotide ribosomal RNA is filed under the name Streptococcus thermophilus. Its description in RNAcentral is "bacterial SSU rRNA". It matches the Rfam family "Bacterial small subunit ribosomal RNA". Lineage: Bacteria; Bacillati; Bacillota; Bacilli; Lactobacillales; Streptococcaceae. The record is from RNAcentral.
CUGGCGGCGUGCCUAAUACAUGCAAGUAGAACGCUGAAGAGAGGAGCUUGCUCUUCUUGGAUGAGUUGCGAACGGGUGAGUAACGCGUAGGUAACCUGCCUUGUAGCGGGGGAUAACUAUUGGAAACGAUAGCUAAUACCGCAUAACAAUGGAUGACACAUGUCAUUUAUUUGAAAGGGGCAAUUGCUCCACUACAAGAUGGACCUGCGUUGUAUUAGCUAGUAGGUGAGGUAAUGGCUCACCUAGGCGACGAUACAUAGCCGACCUGAGAGGGUGAUCGGCCACACUGGGACUGAGACACGGCCCAGACUCCUACGGGAGGCAGCAGUAGGGAAUCUUCGGCAAUGGGGGCAACCCUGACCGAGCAACGCCGCGUGAGUGAAGAAGGUUUUCGGAUCGUAAAGCUCUGUUGUAAGUCAAGAACGGGUGUGAGAGUGGAAAGUUCACACUGUGACGGUAGCUUACCAGAAAGGGACGGCUAACUACGUGCCAGCAGCCGCGGUAAUACGUAGGUCCCGAGCGUUGUCCGGAUUUAUUGGGCGUAAAGCGAGCGCAGGCGGUUUGAUAAGUCUGAAGUUAAAGACUGUGGCUCAACCAUAGUUCGCUUUGGAAACUGUCAAACUUGAGUGCAGAAGGGGAGAGUGGAAUUCCAUGUGUAGCGGUGAAAUGCGUAGAUAUAUGGAGGAACACCGGUGGCGAAAGCGGCUCUCUGGUCUGUAACUGACGCUGAGGCUCGAAAGCGUGGGGAGCGAACAGGAUUAGAUACCCUGGUAGUCCACGCCGUAAACGAUGAGUGCUAGGUGUUGGAUCCUUUCCGGGAUUCAGUGCCGCAGCUAACGCAUUAAGCACUCCGCCUGGGGAGUACGACCGCAAGGUUGAAACUCAAAGGAAUUGACGGGGGCCCGCACAAGCGGUGGAGCAUGUGGUUUAAUUCGAAGCAACGCGAAGAACCUUACCAGGUCUUGACAUCCCGAUGCUAUUUCUAGAGAUAGAAAGUUACUUCGGUACAUCGGUGACAGGUGGUGCAUGGUUGUCGUCAGCUCGUGUCGUGAGAUGUUGGGUUAAGUCCCGCAACGAGCGCAACCCCUAUUGUUAGUUGCCAUCAUUCAGUUGGGCACUCUAGCGAGACUGCCGGUAAUAAACCGGAGGAAGGUGGGGAUGACGUCAAAUCAUCAUGCCCCUUAUGACCUGGGCUACACACGUGCUACAAUGGUUGGUACAACGAGUUGCGAGUCGGUGACGGCGAGCUAAUCUCUUAAAGCCAAUCUCAGUUCGGAUUGUAGGCUGCAACUCGCCUACAUGAAGUCGGAAUCGCUAGUAAUCGCGGAUCAGCACGCCGCGGUGAAUACGUUCCCGGGCCUUGUACACACCGCCCGUCACACCACGAGAGUUUGUAACACCCGAAGUCGGUGAGGUAACCUUUUGGAGCCA